This 406-nucleotide ribosomal RNA is filed under the name uncultured bacterium. RNAcentral's name for it is "partial 16S ribosomal RNA". It matches the Rfam family "Bacterial small subunit ribosomal RNA", at positions 30 to 526 of the family's 1533-position model. The record is from RNAcentral.
AUUGAACGCUGGCGGCAGGCUUAACACAUGCAAGUCGAGCGAGCGGCGGACGGGUGAGUAAUGUCUGGGAAACUGCCUGAUGGAGGGGGAUAACUACUGGAAACGGUAGCUAAUACCGCAUACCAUCAGAUGUGCCCAGAUGGGAUUAGCUAGUAGGUGGGGUGAGGUCUCACCUAGGCGACGAACCCAAGCUGGUCUGAGAGGAUGACCAGCCACACGGAACCUGAGCUACGGUCCAGACUCCUACGGUACGCAGCAGUGGUGAAUAUUGCACUAGUGGCGCAAGCCUGAUGCAGCCAUGCCGAGUGUGUGAAGAGGGCCUUCGGGUUGUAAAGAACUUUCAGCUGGGUGGCGUUACUAGCAGAAGAAGCACCGGCUAACUACGUGCCAGCAGCCGCGGUAAUAC